CAACGUAGGUAAUCUACCUUCGGGUGGGGAAUAACCCAGGGAAACUUGGGCUAACACCGCAUAAUGCAGCGGCACCACAUGGUGACAGUUGUUAAAGCGGGGGAUUUUAGGACCUCGCGCCUGAAGAGGAGCCUGCGGCAGAUUAGCUUGUUGGUAAGGUAACGGCUUACCAAGGCGACGAUCUGUAGCCGGCCUGAGAGGGCGGUCGGCCACACUGACACUGACAUACGGGUCAG
RNAcentral lists this ribosomal RNA (236 nucleotides) under uncultured bacterium. Its description in RNAcentral is "partial 16S ribosomal RNA". It matches the Rfam family "Bacterial small subunit ribosomal RNA", at positions 113 to 334 of the family's 1533-position model. The record is from RNAcentral.